UGGAGAGGUGGCAGAGUGGUCGAAUGCGCUCGACUUGAAAUCGAGUGUCCCAAAAGGACCGUGGGUUCGAAUCCCACCCUCUCCGU
This 86-nucleotide transfer RNA is filed under the name Leptolyngbya sp. O-77. Its description in RNAcentral is "tRNA-Ser". It matches the Rfam family "tRNA". From Rfam's summary of the family: Transfer RNA (tRNA) molecules are approximately 80 nucleotides in length. Their secondary structure includes four short double-helical elements and three loops (D, anti-codon, and T loops). The record is from RNAcentral. RNAcentral also lists the same sequence under 2 other names. Lineage: Bacteria; Bacillati; Cyanobacteriota; Cyanophyceae; Leptolyngbyales; Leptolyngbyaceae.